AGAGUUUGAUCCUGGCUCAGAGCGAACGCUGGCGGCAGGCUUAACACAUGCAAGUCGAACGGGCAUCUUCGGGUGUCAGUGGCAGACGGGUGAGUAACACGUGGGAACGUACCCUUCGGUUCGGAAUAACUCAGGGAAACUUGAGCUAAUACCGGAUACGCCCUUUUGGGGAAAGGUUUACUGCCGAAGGAUCGGCCCGCGUCUGAUUAGCUUGUUGGUGGGGUAACGGCCUACCAAGGCGACGAUCAGUAGCUGGUCUGAGAGGAUGAUCAGCCACACUGGGACUGAGACACGGCCCAGACUCCUACGGGAGGCAGCAGUGGGGAAUAUUGGAUAAUGGGCGCAAGCCUGAUCCAGCCAUGCCGCGUGAGUGAUGAAGGCCUUAGGGUUGUAAAGCUCUUUUGUCCGGGACGAUAAUGACGGUACCGGAAGAAUAAGCCCCGGCUAACUUCGUG
This 455-nucleotide ribosomal RNA is filed under the name uncultured Methylobacterium sp. RNAcentral's name for it is "bacterial SSU rRNA". It matches the Rfam family "Bacterial small subunit ribosomal RNA", at positions 8 to 507 of the family's 1533-position model. Lineage: Bacteria; Pseudomonadati; Pseudomonadota; Alphaproteobacteria; Hyphomicrobiales; Methylobacteriaceae. The record is from RNAcentral.